This 1319-nucleotide ribosomal RNA is filed under the name Cumberlandia monodonta. RNAcentral describes it as "16S ribosomal RNA". The stretch from base 864 to 1209 matches the Rfam family "Archaeal large subunit ribosomal RNA", at positions 2151 to 2715 of the family's 2987-position model. Lineage: Eukaryota; Metazoa; Mollusca; Bivalvia; Unionida; Margaritiferidae. The record is from RNAcentral.
ACACAAAUUAAACAGUAUCAUAACCACACUUAAAGAAAAUAUUCAACCACAAAAGUACCCGAUAAAACCUCUAUCAAAUAAAAAACCGCAAGGGCAAAUCAUCUAGUCAAACAAAGAAAGAAUAACCCCCUCUCCCUUUUGCAUCAUGGAGAAGCAACACUCACAUUAAUAACAAUUAACCUCCCGAAAAAAUAUGAGCUACUAACCCCUCAAAAUUAAUGUGUCAUAAUUAAUAAACUAGCCGUUAGUAGAAGUGACAAGCCUUUCACAUUUUUUGAUAGCUGGUUUUCCCUGAAAAGCAUCAAAGUGCUAGUUUAUGGCAUCAAUAACCCAAAUAUCGCCACAAACCAAAAACUACCGAGGACAAGCUCGGUAGCUUUCUUAAAAUAAGUCAACCCACAAAGUUAAAAGUAGGCUUAAAGACAGCCAACUUACUGCGUUCUAGUAAACAGACACCACCAAAACAUAUAGAAUAAACAAAUUUUAACCUAUAAGGGAACCUGACGCGGAACAAUCUACAACCUUACCAAACAGGCAUCCUAUUAGUAUAACUUACUUAAUUCAACACUUCUUAUAAAAAAUAAGUGAACUCAACCUACAGUAAAAAAAUAACUAUGCGUAACGAACUCGACAACACCGCUUUCCGCCUGUUUACCAAAAACAUCGUUUCUCGAAAACACCAACAUGAGAAAUAAUGCCUGCCCAGUGAAUACCAAAUUUUAACGGCCGCGUUAGCGUGAGCGUGCUAAGGUAACGUAAUAAAUAGCCUUUUAAUUGGAGGCCAGUGAACGGCAACACGGAAAACACCUGUAUCACACAUAUUAGUAAAAUUUUAUUUUUGGGUGAAAAAGCCCAAAUAAUCAAGGAAGACAAAAAGACCCCGCGGAGCUUCACUUUAUUGGGCUAAGCAAAUCCUACAGAUUAAGCCAUGCUUACAAGUUUGGUUGGGGCAACCCUGGAAUCACCAAAGCUUCCAGUCAUAAUUAAGAAACGCAUCAAAAACGUCUUCGGGCCAAAAAGCAGUUACCCCGGGGAUAACAGCGUAAUCCAACUCAAGAGUACACAUCGAAAGUUGGGUUUGCGACCUCGAUGUUGGCUUAAGGUAAUUCACAUUAGUGCAGCCGCUAUGAGAGAAUAGUCUGUUCGACUAUUAUACCCUUACAUGAGCUGAGUUAAGACCGGCGCAAGCUAGGUUGGUUUCUAUCUCCUGUUUAUAACUAUACUCUCAAUUGUACGAAAGGACCCUGAGAUAUGCAAACCUAAGCAAUCACCAAUAAAUUCAUAACCCCAUACUAAAUGAAAUUAUAAAAAGACUACCA